UAUACAUUUUGGCUAAAUCAGUUUAAAUAUUCAUUGGAAAAUCUAAUGUGAAACGAUGAUACAUUUUGGCGUUUAAGAAAAUAAUAAUGGCUAUAAAACGGCCGAACACAAGCCCUACAACUUCAAAUAAAUCGCCCAUACCAGCCCCUGACUGUAUUAAAUGCAUAUUGUCAACUCAUAUUUUCUAUGUAUGCUCCCAAAUGACCCCUUCGCCGGGAUAUUGUCGAAUGUUAAUAGAUUUAGAUAUCAAAUAUUAUUUGUUAUAGAAAAGUCACUUAAACCAACAAUACCGAAUCCAAGGCCUACUUCACCAUCCACCGGUAAAGACAACUCUUCUUCCAUGUUGAUCGGAAUCAUAUGUGGUUGUCUUGCUGUUCUUAUUAUCGUUCUGUUAGCCGUCGGGUGUGUGGUAUUAUCGAAAAGAAGAAAGAAAGCCCCGACGAGAGAAGGUUCUUAUAGUGUACAUAUACAGGAGCGACGACCGUCCUGUGUACGACAAUCUGGCUGGUUCCAAUCACGGUGAUGCUCCAUCUGAAGCUAUUGCUGAACCGGUUGAGUACGCCUGUGUUGUUAAAAAGGAAGAGAGAAAAAUUACAAAACCUGAGGCCGAGGAUAGUGCACUCAUCUACGCUGAUCUUGAUCUACCCGCAGAGGGUUCCACACGAGGGAUUCCAACAGUGAAUUUUGACGCCGGGACAACAUACGUUUCAAUUGAUUUUGCUCAGACGGCUAAAAUGAAAGGAUCUGUGUUAGACGAUUAGUUAAAUGAAUAUCCACGAGGAAAAUGACCCGAUUACUUUUUGUGUAUUGAUGUAACGUUGCUAGAUUGUUAUAUUACACGUGAAUCACUAAUCAUACUUUGAAAGCUAAUUGUGAUAUUUUAACGUAGUUCUGCUCCUUUUAAAUUGGUUGACACCGAUGUCACAUAUACUUUAUAUAAAAUAAAUGUAAUCCUAUACAGAGCCCUUGUUCGAACAUUAAUAAUGCAUGAGAACUGAACUGUAACAAUAUCAUUGAUUAUAUUCAGUUUGCUUACCAUUCAAUGUAUAUAGAAUGGGUCGUAACUGAUGUUGUUAAAACUAGUCGCCAAAUCAUUGUUCAUGUAAAUACUGAUGAACGUUUACUAUGCUACAUUACAAUGCUUCUUUUAACUUUGUCUUCUUUAUUGCAUUGUGUUAAUGUAUCUCAUGCAAUAACGUAUGAUUCUGACCUUUUUUUCAACAUGUUUGUAGACACUUCAUUUUUUAAUCCAAAUUAAAUCUUAUCAAAAUGUCACAAUCUACAAUUAAGAUUUGCACUG
Mya arenaria is the source of this 1300-nucleotide long non-coding RNA. RefSeq lists it as uncharacterized. The record is from RefSeq and is a predicted model, not a curated record. The transcript has 3 exons. NCBI's taxonomy places the organism in Eukaryota, Metazoa, Mollusca, Bivalvia, Myida, Myidae.